CUUCCAGGCUGUGGCAGUGCUGCUCCGUAGCUUGUUCAGUGUCUCUUCUGGAGCAUCUGCUCACCACUCACACGAAAUGCUAACAUACUCCAGCACGAACACCAUGUGGCCUCAGAUUCCUCAUCAGGAAACAUUAAAGGCUAAAGGUCACUGGGUAUACAGGAAGUUUAAAGCAGCCGCUUUAACCUCUGAAUCUUUAGUCUCUACUGAAGUCAGAGUAAUGGCACUUUAAAGGUAUGUUUAAACACGUAUUCUUAUGUAUGUCCUUUG
Vidua macroura (Pin-tailed whydah) is the source of this 270-nucleotide long non-coding RNA. RefSeq lists it as uncharacterized. The transcript is spliced from 3 exons. Lineage: Eukaryota; Metazoa; Chordata; Aves; Passeriformes; Viduidae. The record is from RefSeq and is a predicted model, not a curated record.